RNAcentral lists this transfer RNA (67 nucleotides) under Marmota monax (woodchuck). Its description in RNAcentral is "tRNA.Gly". It matches the Rfam family "tRNA". From Rfam's summary of the family: Transfer RNA (tRNA) molecules are approximately 80 nucleotides in length. Their secondary structure includes four short double-helical elements and three loops (D, anti-codon, and T loops). Lineage: Eukaryota; Metazoa; Chordata; Mammalia; Rodentia; Sciuridae. The record is from RNAcentral.
GGUUGUGGCUCAGCGGUAGAGCGCUUGCCUCCCAUGUGUGAGACCCUGGGUUCCAUCCUCAGCACCA